GACGAACGCUGGCGGCGUGCCUAAUACAUGCAAGUCGAACGCAGUGGGGACGGGUGAGUAACACGUGGGUAACCUCCCAUCAGAGGGGAUAACACUUGGAAACAGGUGCUAAACCGAUAUUGAUGGAUGAACCCGCGGUGCAUUAGCUAGUUGGUGAGGUAACGGCUCACCAAGGCCACGCUGCAUAGCGGACCUUGAAGGGUGAGCGGCCACACGGGGACGUAGACACGGCCCAGACUCCUACGGGAGGCAGCAGUAGGGAAUCUUCGGAAAUGGACGAAAGUCUGACCGAGCAACGCCGGGUGAGUGAAGAAGGUUGUCGGAGCGUAAACCUCUGUGGUUAGGGAAGCGGUAUCUAACCAGAAAGCCACGGCUAACUACGUGCCAGCCGCCGCGGUAAUAC
RNAcentral lists this ribosomal RNA (403 nucleotides) under uncultured bacterium. RNAcentral's name for it is "partial 16S ribosomal RNA". It matches the Rfam family "Bacterial small subunit ribosomal RNA", at positions 28 to 526 of the family's 1533-position model. The record is from RNAcentral.